AUGGGGAAUAUUGGACAAUGGGCGCAAGCCUGAUCCAGCCAUACCGCGUGGGUGAAGAAGGCCUUCGGGUUGUAAAGCCCUUUUGUUGGGAAAGAAAUCCUAUCGAUUAAUACUCGGUGGGGAUGACGGUACCCAAAGAAUAAGCACCGGCUAACUUCGUGCCAGCAGCCGCGGUAAUACGAAGGGUGCAAGCGUUACUCGGAAUUACUGGGCGUAAAGCGUGCGUAGGUGGUUGUUUAAGUCUGCUGUGAAAGCCCUGGGCUCAACCUGGGAAUUGCAGUGGAUACUGGGCAACUAGAGUGUGGUAGAGGGAUGCGGAAUUUCUGGUGUAGCAGUGAAAUGCGUAGAGAUCAGAAGGAACAUCCGUGGCGAAGGCGGCAUCCUGGGCCAACACUGACACUGAGGCACGAAAGCGUGGGGAGCAAACAGGAUUAGAUACCCCAGUAGUCC
RNAcentral lists this ribosomal RNA (450 nucleotides) under uncultured bacterium. RNAcentral describes it as "partial 16S ribosomal RNA". It matches the Rfam family "Bacterial small subunit ribosomal RNA", at positions 354 to 796 of the family's 1533-position model. The record is from RNAcentral.